GCGGGUGACAGAGGAAGAUUCAUUCCCUCCAUAGCAGGCAAAGUCCCCCGUUCUUGUUUGUCCCAAGGUCCAUCCUCUCAGCUUUUUUACCCACUGAACUUCACCCCGGGAGCGCGCGACGACCACCACCACCACCGCCCUCAUCAAUGGCUGCUCGGGUGAUAACGGUGGCGCCGGACGGUACCGGCGACUUCGGCACGGUGCAGGAGGCCAUCGACGCGGUCCCCCUCGGCAACGCCCGCCGCACCGUCAUCCGGGUGUCGCCCGGCGUGUACAGGCAGCCCGUGUACGUGCCCAAGACCAAGAACUUCAUCACCCUCGCCGGGGUCGGGCCCGAGGACACCGUCCUCACUUGGCACAACACCGCCUCCAAAAUCGACCACCACCAGGCGCCUCGUGUGAUCGGGACGGGGACGUUCGGGUGUGGGAGCACGAUCGUGGAAGGGGGAGAUUUCAUUGCUGAGAACAUCACUUUUGAGAAUUCGGCUCCUGAGGGUUCAGGCCAAGCUGUGGCUAUUAGGGUGACAGCAGACAGGUGUGCCUUCUACAACUGCAGGUUUCUUGGUUGGCAGGAUACAUUGUACUUGCAUUACGGGAAACAGUAUUUAAGAGAUUGCUACAUCGAGGGAAGUGUAGACUUCAUCUUUGGCAAUAGUACUGCUCUUUUGGAGCACUGUCAUAUCCAUUGCAAGUCAGCAGGUUUCAUAACAGCACAAAGCAGGAAGUCUUCUCAGGAAUUGACUGGUUAUAUUUUCUUAAGAUGUGUCAUCACUGGCACUGGAGGAACUUCAUAUACAUAUCUGGGACGACCAUGGGGACCUUUCGGAAGGGUGGUAUAUGCAUACACAUACAUGGAUGCUUGUAUCAAGCAAGUGGGCUGGAAUAAUUGGGGAAAAACUGAGAAUGAAAGAACUGCUUGCUUUUAUGAAUACAGGUGCUUUGGGCCAGGCAGUUGUCCCUCAAAACGUGUGACAUGGGCUAGAGAACUGGUUGAUGAAGAAGCAGAACAGUUCCUAAUGCAUAACUUCAUCGACCCUGACCCCGAGAAUCCUUGGCUUGCUCAGAGAAUGGCCAUUAGGAUACCAUUUUCUGCCUAGAUGGUUUCGAGGUGUCACUUUUUCAAAAAAUUUGGAUUCUGAACGUUAGGCCAAGAAUGUACGGGGGGAUGUAACUUGAUGUCUGGACGUGGGGAUAAUGGAUUGCUGUUGGUGUGAGUUAUUGUCUUGAGAUCAAGCAGAAUAAGCACUCCUCUGAUGCCAUUUUCUAUCUUAUUAGUAGAGGUGACGGACGGGUGGGUUGAAUACGGUAGACCUGAGUAACCCGUUAUUUAUACGAAUUGACCAAAUGCAAUCCAACCUAUAGAACUAUUAUCCAUUGCAACUCAAUCAACUUGGUUUAAACGGGAGUUUCGUGUUCUUGAGUCUCUAUUGUAUCCAUACGGUUGAUGUAGAAUCUUUAUAGUUCUUGAGCAUUGCAAGACUAAAUUUAACUGGAAGCCUUUUUACUGAUGAAUCUAGCUUUUAUUUCUACUA
Syzygium oleosum is the source of this 1532-nucleotide RNA transcript. It is a transcript of the gene named pectinesterase 31, with no coding region annotated. The record is from RefSeq and is a predicted model, not a curated record. The transcript has 7 exons. Lineage: Eukaryota; Viridiplantae; Streptophyta; Magnoliopsida; Myrtales; Myrtaceae.